GCUAGAACAACUGUUUGGUCCUAUCAGAGUGCCAUGCCUGCCAGACAUGCUCUGAAUGUAUACAGCAGUGCCACGAGAGCUGCUCUUCUCUGCUGAGAUGGUUAUGGUUAGAAUUGGUUUCUAGCACAAAGCCUUAGAUACAUUUAUUUUUUCUUUAAGACAGUAUUUUAGGGCUCAGAAACUAAUGCAGUCACUGGUCUUGCCCUUCAGCUGCAGCUGAAGAUCUUGCAGGGGAGCUUGGGACAAGAGAAUGUGCAAAGGUUGAUUUAUUUUUCCUUGGAUUCCUUGAUCUUGAGUUAGUUGGCUGUGACCCUUUGUAUAACUGCACUAGCCCAAUGUGUGCCAUAGGACAAUCAUUUUAAGUCAUGUGGAUUAUAUCCAAUGGGUUUUCCAGAGUUCAAGAAAAGUUGCAUGCUGCUCUGUUGGUGAGUGGGAAAUUAAUUGCUUCUAGCUGGUUCCUCGGUCACCAGGUGAUGUCUCCUCAGCCACGAGGCAGUCCUCCGGUGAGCAGGGUCUGCCUUCCAGUGGUGCAAAGUCUCUUAGCACAUGCAACAGAGGAGUGGGUGCUCUUGCCAAUGGGAGCCAUUGGUUUCCUGUAUUACCAAUGCACCCAAACUAUUGGCUGUCUAAACUGGUGGAAGCGAAGAACAGCUUACCUUAAGCAACCCCGGGCUGCAACGGUCAAUGAUACAGUAUAAAUAUUUGUUUGUCUGAUUAACAUCUUCAGCUGAUUUGCAGCCCUGUCUGUCAGAGGAGGAGAGGGAGUCUCAACAGGCUCUCCAGCACCAUGUGCCCAGGGAACAAAGCCCAUUGCUCUGGCAGGCAUUACUCACUAGCAGAUUUUGACCACUUGUCUGUGCUCACUGGCUGAAGACUUGAGAAGAAGUUGGUAUUGUGGGGAUGGGCUCAUGCAUGAGGGCAUGGAGAAGUUGUGCAGGUGUAAGGUGGCUGAGAAGAACCAUGGAAAGUGGACAGAGGUCUUUAUGGUGCUACAUCAUUUUGAUUGACCUUCAAAAUGAAGAGGAGAGGACACAGACUGACACACAGAGCCCUCUGUGAGGUCUUGCAGCGAGGGGUACAUGUUCACACCCACAGCAAUCUUUCUGUGUAAAGAGAUACUCUUUCACACCAGUGCUUAUGAAAGAGAAAAUAAAAUGGCUAAAACACACUUACA
This 1174-nucleotide long non-coding RNA is filed under the name Anas platyrhynchos platyrhynchos (common mallard). Its description in RNAcentral is "lncRNA (ENSAPLG00000016471.1)". Lineage: Eukaryota; Metazoa; Chordata; Aves; Anseriformes; Anatidae. The record is from RNAcentral.